Anolis carolinensis (green anole) is the source of this 685-nucleotide long non-coding RNA. RefSeq lists it as uncharacterized. NCBI's taxonomy places the organism in Eukaryota, Metazoa, Chordata, Lepidosauria, Squamata, Anolidae. The record is from RefSeq and is a predicted model, not a curated record. The transcript is spliced from 3 exons.
ACUACAUUUCUGAAGUAUGACUACACGGCUUCCUCUAAGAAAUAGUAGUGUUUACAAGCCUCCGGAUGGAUCAGCAAUGCCAUAUAUGCCAUUCGGCUGCACACAAAACAACCUGCUGUUUUCAGAAAUCUGUUAGUACUGAAAAUGGGAGCCUUUUUUCUCCUUUGAUGAAUAAAGAAACAAAGUGUCUAUCAAGGAAACUCCCACCCAUCCACUAACCACUUAAAGUUGUUAAUAUUCAGUUCUUUUUGUUCUCACAGUGAUCUAUGGUGCAGCAAUUGCAAGCUGUCACAGCUCCUCCUCACACUAAAAAUUGAUUGUGAAAGAAAGUUGAGAAUGUCAGUUUGCUGCAUCCUGAUUGACAGAUCAGAUUCCCAUCAUUCACAGUGGUUGAUGCCUGCUAAGGAAGGACUGGGUGAUUUCUAAAUAAAUCCUGUGUUACAAUAUGCAUAACUCUAGGUUAUGUGUUUGUUACUGCAGUUGUGAAUUCCAACCGAUGUUCUCUCCAUCCCUAUCCACCAUAUGCUUGUAAAACAAAUCAGGAGCACUUUUUUCUAGGUAAUCUUUAGGCCUUUUAAAUCCUGCAAUAAAUGUUAUCACCAAAACGAUUCUACUGUCUCCAGCUGCCAUCUCUGUGACAAUUUACUGAGUGCUGGCUAUUUUCUUUCAAUGUCUGUUAAGUCUG